RNAcentral lists this non-coding RNA (115 nucleotides) under Ureibacillus sinduriensis. RNAcentral's name for it is "Lysinibacillus sinduriensis TPP sequence". It matches the Rfam family "TPP riboswitch aptamer (THI element)". Rfam says of the family: Vitamin B(1) in its active form thiamin pyrophosphate (TPP) is an essential coenzyme that is synthesised by coupling of pyrimidine and thiazole moieties in bacteria. The previously detected thiamin-regulatory element, thi box was extended, resulting in a new, highly conserved RNA secondary structure, the THI element, which is widely distributed in eubacteria and also occurs in some archaea. Analysis of operon structures identified a large number of new candidate thiamin-regulated genes, mostly transporters, in various prokaryotic organisms. The record is from RNAcentral. Lineage: Bacteria; Bacillati; Bacillota; Bacilli; Caryophanales; Caryophanaceae. RNAcentral also lists the same sequence under 1 other name.
AGAAAUAACUAGGGGAGUCCAAUGAGUUGGGCUGAGAGGGAAACGCAGUGAGGUUUCUUGACCCUUUGGACCCGAUCUAGAUAAUGCUAGCGUGGGGAAGUUAGGAAAAUCAAGU